UGGGGAAUAUUGCACAAUGGGGGAAACCCUGCUGCAGCGACGCCGCGUGAGCGAAGAAGGCUUUCGAGUCGUAAAGCUCUGUCCUAUGAGAAGAUAAUGACGGUAUCAUAGGAGGAAGCCCUGGCUAAAUACGUGCCAGCAGCCGCGGUAAUACGUAUGGGGCGAGCGUUGUCCGGAAUUAUUGGGCGUAAAGGGUACGUAGGCGGUUUUUUAAGUCAGGUGUCAAAGCGUGGAGCUUAACUCCAUUAAGCACUUGAAACUGAAAGACUUGAGUGAAGGAGAGGAAAGUGGAAUUCCUAGUGUAGCGGUGAAAUGCGUAGAUAUUAGGAGGAAUACCGGUGGCGAAGGCGACUUUCUUGACUUUUACUGACGCUCAGGUACGAAAGCGUGGGGAGCAAACAGG
This 403-nucleotide ribosomal RNA is filed under the name Verrucomicrobiota bacterium. RNAcentral's name for it is "Verrucomicrobia bacterium partial 16S ribosomal RNA". It matches the Rfam family "Bacterial small subunit ribosomal RNA", at positions 355 to 776 of the family's 1533-position model. Lineage: Bacteria; Pseudomonadati; Verrucomicrobiota. The record is from RNAcentral.